Molecule: ribosomal RNA, 267 nt
Filed under: uncultured bacterium
Lineage: Bacteria
Description: partial 16S ribosomal RNA
Rfam family: Bacterial small subunit ribosomal RNA
Source: RNAcentral
GUCCUAGCCGUAAACGGUGCAUGUUUGCUGUAAAAGGAAUCGACCCCUUUUGUGGCGGAGCCAACGCGUUAAACAUGCCGCCUGGGAAGUACGGUCGCAAGAUUAAAACUCAAAGAAAUUGACGGGGGCCUGCACAAGCGGUGGAGUAUGUGGCUCAAUUCGAUGCAACGCGAAGAACCUUACCUGGCCUUGACAUGCAUAUAGUAGAAGGGUGAAAGCCUGACGAGGUAGCAAUACCAGUAUGCACAGGUGCUGCAUGGCUGUCGU